This 530-nucleotide ribosomal RNA is filed under the name uncultured Sebacinales. RNAcentral's name for it is "eukaryotic LSU rRNA". It matches the Rfam family "Eukaryotic large subunit ribosomal RNA", at positions 1 to 512 of the family's 3401-position model. Lineage: Eukaryota; Fungi; Basidiomycota; Agaricomycetes; Sebacinales. The record is from RNAcentral.
GUCUUUGGCAAAUCUUGACAAUUUGACCUCAGAUCGAGUGGGACUACCCGCUGAACUUAAGCAUAUCAAUAAGCGGAGGAAAAGAAACUAACAAGGAUUCCCCUAGUAACGGCGAGUGAAGAGGGAAAAGCUCAAAUUUUGAAUCUGGUGCCUUUGGCAUCCGAGUUGUAAUCUAGAGAAGUGUUUUCUGCCUUGGACCRCACAUAAAUUCCCUGGAAUGGGGUGUCAUAGAGGGUGAGAAUCCCGUUUGUGGUGUGGACUACCUUGGCUCUGUGAUACACUCUCAACGAGUCGAGUUGUUUGGGAAUGCAGCUCAAAAUGGGUGGUAAAUUCCAUCUAAAGCUAAAUAUUGGCGAGAGACCGAUAGCGAACAAGUACCGUGAGGGAAAGAUGAAAAGCACUUUGGAAAGAGAGUGAAACAGUACGUGAAAUUGUUGAAAGGGAAGCGUUUGAAGUCAGUCACAUUGGUCAGAAUCAGCCUGGCUUAUGCCUGGUGUACUUCUGGCAAAUGGGUCCGCGUCAUUUUGACC